GGCGAAAUCAAGCCUUUUUCACGAUUUGCAGUCGACAAAUUUGGAGAAGCAGGAAUCGGAAAAUUAUUUAAGCCAGAGUAAAUUAAUUUUGCAUAAAUUGUACGACUUAAGAUUGAGCCAUUUCGAGGGGCGAGACACAAGCUCAAUUGAUUAAAAAUAAUCGUUUAGUUGAUUAGAAUUUUCAAUUAGUUGAUUAGGAUUCUCGCUAAUCAAUUAGCGUAUUCUUACCACGGGGUGGUCACUAUACAUAUAUAGCAUAUUUCGCAUGUAUUUACUACGGUAAAUCCGUAUGUGCAUCCAUAUUCACGAGAUAGAAAAAAACACGAAAUUCUACUUUACGAUUUAUUUCAGUGGUGCAGGUUGUCAGUUGUCGUCGUCGCGCGCUGCAUAUUGUUUACAAACAAGAAAAAAGGAAAACGCACACGAAAAGUAGCGAUUGCGUUCCCGGUCCUGCUACAGACGGCGUUCAAGACAGCGCACCCGGUUCCAUCACCGCCACUAGCAUUCCAAGGAACCGGCAAACAAAACCGGGACCGAGUUCUUUAUCAAGUAUCAAGCUGGUUCGCAGUCCCAACAGACGGAAGCCACAAACACUUUUCGGUAAAAUUAAGAUGCACCCCAGGAAAAUUUCCUGUAGCCGGAGUUGAACCUGCUUGAGUGGAUUCCGGAACAGUGGCCCAGAAAUGGUUCUUCGAUAAGCAAGUGACUGUCGGAUACAACCUAUCUAUGGAAUGGGAGCUGCCACGGAACGGGACGUGUGGGGCCAAGGAACGAACAGGAAUCUUUACUAAAGUAGAUCCAGACCAAGGAAGAGUCAAUUUUGUCGCAAGAGCUUUCUUUGACCGGGCGGAUGAUUUAGGGUUUGCUAAGGUGACAACAACGGUCAAGAAGUUCGAUCCAGCCUCGAUGCGCCGCGGAAACCAACCUGCAGGGAACAUUUCGUCACCAGGUAGACUACGACUUAGUUUCAACGACGUUACAGUAGUCCCUGGUGCUGCUCGUGCAAGCAUUAUCAACCGCCGGGACGCUAUCUACGCAGCCGCCGCCAGCUAAGGAACAGCGCUCCCUGUCGCUGAUGGCCCGCUUCUUGUCAAUGCUGAUCAAGCACCGGCGGCAAGACGUUAGCGACCAAGCCAUGAAGAAGGCGGAUGCUGGAAAAAAUGGAUCGGGUCUGGGCCGGUGAAUACGUCGUCAUAAGCAUCGCGAGAAGAACGAGCUAAGUACUGUGCGAAGUACUCGUACAUUCUGACCCUAGUGAUGACCCCUGUGGCAAUUUAAUUCAAUUUAACAUGUAUUAAUCAGUACCAAAUAAAAAGGCUGGUCAGGGUGUUUUUUUUUGCUUGGAGAGUCCAACUUUUUUCGCUACGCCUCCAAUCGACGGCACCUUUUUUGUCGGUGAACAGGUUAUGGCGAAAACGAUAAGACAUCAGCAUUCGCUUUAGAAAAAUUAGUCCCCAGGUUGAUGUUCUGCAACUUGAUAAUCGCGAGGCGGACAUGAUCUGACGGUUGUGCACGGAUAACGUAACCGACAAUACAAGAGUGCCAAGUCCCACAGACGCAGGGCCUUGUCCCAAGAGCCGGACAGGGCGUAGUUACCGCAAGAGCACUACGUCGCUGAUGAUGUGCGAAAGACCGUACAAGCGCUUCUGCGAUACUUUAGUCGGGGUCGUCCCGGGUAAGCUUCCACACGAUCAGCGGGGAUGCUAGGUGCUACUUCGUGGGGGGAGGGGUUUUUCCGGUUUUAUAGGUGUCGAACACAGCAUGCCAAUUUUUUACCGUACAUAACUGGAUCAACGACAACCCAGUUCCAUCACUAGGUAAACGACACCUUCGCCUUUGCCGCUCUAUUCAGCAGGUGUUGUUUGACCAAAAAUGAUUUGGCCAAAUUCCUCAGCUUCCGGCUCCAGUCCGGGUAGUUCUAGUAUUUCUAGUUCCAUCCGAAUCUUCUUCAAAUACAAAACUAAUCUAGGUGACAGUUGCCAAUGACGUUUAGAAACGUCACAGCCCACACUGAUCGAAAUUUUCUCUCAAAUCUUUAAGUUCAUCCUCGUGAAUCCGUAUUUACCAUU
Long non-coding RNA from Culex pipiens pallens (northern house mosquito), 2069 nucleotides. RefSeq lists it as uncharacterized. The record is from RefSeq and is a predicted model, not a curated record. NCBI's taxonomy places the organism in Eukaryota, Metazoa, Arthropoda, Insecta, Diptera, Culicidae. The transcript has 3 exons.